CAACGGCCGAAAAGUCAGUUGAAAAAAUAGGAAAAAAAAAUGAAACUAAAAUUGAAUCUUUGGCCAUACAAAUCGUUGACCUAUUUUGGGCUGUCCCGUGGCCAUCCGAUGUUUCGGUUAUAUUUGGCUGAGCUUCAAGGAUAUGACAGCGUUCACUAAUUGAGAUGUUUUUCGCUUUUUGGUUGCUGAGACUUUCCCUAGCGUUAUGCAAGUGCAAAUGGAAUCAAAUGGGGGAUGGCCUGGAUGGAUGGUGGAUAGCCUACGCUGGUCUGGCCUGGAUGUAAAUGAAAUGAGUUGACGUAACAAUUAAUCCACUGCCAUGGCAACGGCAGGCACUCUCGUCUUGUGUAACAGUAUCCUGUGUCCUGGGCCCAAAACGUGCCACCAAUAAAACAUCCCCCAACGAUGAUGAGCGAUAAUUAAAUGCGGC
RNAcentral lists this long non-coding RNA (430 nucleotides) under Drosophila guanche. Lineage: Eukaryota; Metazoa; Arthropoda; Insecta; Diptera; Drosophilidae. The record is from RNAcentral.